UACGUAGGGUGCGAGCGUUAAUCGGAAUUACUGGGCGUAAAGGGUGCGUAGGCGGCGUCGCAAGUCAGGCGUGAAAUCCCCGGGCUUAACCUGGGAACUGCACUUGAAACUACGAUGCUGGAGUAUGGCAGAGGGAGGUGGAAUUCCACGCGUAGCGGUGAAAUGCGUAGAGAUGUGGAGGAACACCGAUGGCGAAGGCAGCCUCCUGGGCCAAUACUGACGCUCAUGCACGAAAGCGUGGGGAGCAAACAGG
RNAcentral lists this ribosomal RNA (253 nucleotides) under uncultured bacterium. RNAcentral's name for it is "partial 16S ribosomal RNA". It matches the Rfam family "Bacterial small subunit ribosomal RNA", at positions 524 to 776 of the family's 1533-position model. The record is from RNAcentral.